RNAcentral lists this long non-coding RNA (267 nucleotides) under Elaeis guineensis (African oil palm). RNAcentral describes it as "long non-coding RNA (EGUI_LNC035087)". The record is from RNAcentral. Lineage: Eukaryota; Viridiplantae; Streptophyta; Magnoliopsida; Arecales; Arecaceae.
ACAUUCGGCCUCUAUAGGAAGUCCACUCGAAGCUCUGAUCUGAUCGGUCUCCUCGAGAAUGCUAGUUCACGCGAAGACCUUCUUCUUGACUGAUCUAGAUCCUUUCUUCAAAUCUUUAAAAUCUUUUCAGAGAUUGAAGAUAGACUUCUGAAGGAGAUGAAAAGGUAAAAGAAAGAUGGAGGAGAAAAUAUUUUUUUCUUAUUUUUUCUCUCUUCCCAAACCUUGAGGAAUAAAUCCUAGAAACUAGGUUUUUGCGCACACCCAAAG